GGCGGACCGGCGUGGCCCGCUCUCUUAUGGGAGUGUGUGCUAUGUCGCGUCUGUCAUCCUUGCAGAUAGCGGCGUCUACCAUUCAUUUGGCCUGACGUUUGUGAUCUGCAUCGAUUACUUUGAAAAAAUUAGAGUGUUUAAAGCAGGCUUAUGCCUUGAAUACAUUAGCAUGGAAUAAUAAUUUAGGACUUCGGUUCUAUUUUGUUGGUUUCUAGAACUGAAGUA
RNAcentral lists this ribosomal RNA (225 nucleotides) under uncultured fungus. RNAcentral's name for it is "partial small subunit ribosomal RNA". The stretch from base 98 to 225 matches the Rfam family "Eukaryotic small subunit ribosomal RNA", at positions 735 to 864 of the family's 1831-position model. Lineage: Eukaryota; Fungi. The record is from RNAcentral.